CAAAAACAUCGCCUCUUGCAAAAUUAAUGAAUAAGAGGUCCCGCCUGCCCUGUGACUAUAUGUUUAACGGCCGCGGUAUUCUGACCGUGCGAAGGUAGCGCAAUCACUUGUCUCUUAAAUGGAGACCUGUAUGAAUGGCACGACGAGGGCUUGACUGUCUCCUUUUUCAGGUCAAUGAAAUUGAUCCUCCCGUGCAGAAGCGGGGAUAACUACAUAAGACGAGAAGACCCUAUGGAGCUUUAGACACCAAAGCAGAUCAUGUUAAACACCCCAGAACAAAGGGCCAAACCAAAUGAGCCCUGCCCGAAUGUCUUUGGUUGGGGCGACCAUGGGGAAUACAAAACCCCCACGCGGAAUAAGAGUACUCCUCUUACAGUCAAGAGCUCCCACUCUAACAAACAGAAUUUCUGACCAAUAAUGAUCCGGCUAAAGCCGAUCAACGGACCGAGUUACCCUAGGGAUAACAGCGCAAUCCUCUUUAAGAGCCCAUAUCGACAAGGGGGUUUACGACCUCGAUGUUGGAUCAGGACAUCCUAAUGGUGCAGCCGCUAUUAAGGGUUCGUUUGUUCAACGAUUAAAGUCCUACGUGAUCUG
Molecule: ribosomal RNA, 594 nt
Filed under: Symphorichthys spilurus
Lineage: Eukaryota; Metazoa; Chordata; Actinopteri; Lutjaniformes; Lutjanidae
Description: partial 16S ribosomal RNA
Rfam family: Bacterial large subunit ribosomal RNA
Source: RNAcentral